AUUGAACGCUGGCGGCAGGCUUAACACAUGCAAGUCGAGCGGAGUGAUGGUGCUUGCACUAUCACUUAGCGGCGGACGGGUGAGUAAUGCUUAGGAAUCUGCCUAUUAGUGGGGGACAACAUCUCGAAAGGGAUGCUAAUACCGCAUACGUCCUACGGGAGAAAGCAGGGGAUCACUUGUGACCUUGCGCUAAUAGAUGAGCCUAAGUCGGAUUAGCUAAUUGGUGGGGUAAAGGCCUACCAAGGCGACGAUCUGUAGCGGGUCUGAGAGGAUGAUCCGCCACACUGGGACUGGGACACGGCCCAGACUCCUACGGGAGGUAGCAGUGGGGAAUAUUGGACAAUGGGGGGAACCCUGAUCCAGCCAUGCCGCGGGUGUGAAGAAGGCCUUAUGGUUGUAAAGAACUUUAAGCGAGGAGGAGGCUCUUUUGGUUAAUACCCAAGAUGAGUGGACGUUACUCGCAGAAUAAGCACCGGCUAACUCUGUGCCAGCCGCCGCGGUAA
This 503-nucleotide ribosomal RNA is filed under the name uncultured bacterium. RNAcentral's name for it is "partial 16S ribosomal RNA". It matches the Rfam family "Bacterial small subunit ribosomal RNA", at positions 30 to 523 of the family's 1533-position model. The record is from RNAcentral.